AGAGUUUGAUCCUGGCUCAGGAUGAACGCUAGCUACAGGCUUAACACAUGCAAGUCGAGGGGAAACGACAUCGAAAGCUUGCUUUUGAUGGGCGUCGACCGGCGCACGGGUGAGUAACGCGUAUCCAACCUGCCCACCACUUGGGGAUAACCUUGCGAAAGUAAGACUAAUACCCAAUGACGUCUCUAGAAGACAUCUGAAGGAGAUUAAAGAUUUAUCGGUGAUGGAUGGGGAUGCGUCUGAUUAGCUUGUUGGCGGGGUAACGCCACAAGGCGACGAUCGGUAGGGUUCUGAGAGGAAGGUCCCCCANAUUGGAACUGAGACACGGUCCAAACUCCUACGGGAGGCA
Molecule: ribosomal RNA, 349 nt
Filed under: uncultured bacterium
Lineage: Bacteria
Description: bacterial SSU rRNA
Rfam family: Bacterial small subunit ribosomal RNA
Source: RNAcentral